CAGAGUUCUCGCCCCUCCGGGUAGAUCUCCCACCCACUGCGAUUGCUACCGUGUUGCUUUGGCGGGCCGCUGGGCCCCGGCCCGGCCGCCGGCUCCGGCUGGCGCGCGCCCGCCAGAGGCUCCGCAAACCCUGAACGUCUGUGUCGUCCGAGUACCAUACAAUAGUUA
This 168-nucleotide unclassified non-coding RNA is filed under the name uncultured fungus. RNAcentral's name for it is "sequence contains ITS1, 5.8S rRNA gene". The record is from RNAcentral. Lineage: Eukaryota; Fungi. RNAcentral also lists the same sequence under 1 other name.